RNAcentral lists this ribosomal RNA (474 nucleotides) under uncultured bacterium. Its description in RNAcentral is "bacterial SSU rRNA". It matches the Rfam family "Bacterial small subunit ribosomal RNA", at positions 1 to 526 of the family's 1533-position model. The record is from RNAcentral.
AUUAGAGUUUGAUCCUGGCUCAGAACGAACGCUGGCGGCAGGCCUAACACAUGCAAGUCGAGCGCCCCGCAAGGGGAGCGGCGGACGGGUGAGUAACGCGUGGGAACGUACCCUUUGCUACGGAAUAGCCUCGGGAAACUGGGAGUAAUACCGUAUGUGCCCUUCGGGGGAAAGAUUUAUCGGUUCUGGAUGAGCCCGCGUUGGAUUAGCUAGUUGGUGAGGUAAAGGCUCACCAAGGCGACGAUCCAUAGCUGGUCUGAGAGGAUGAUCAGCCACACUGGGACUGAGACACGGCCCAGACUCCUACGGGAGGCAGCAAUGGGGAAUAUUGGACAAUGGGCGAAAGCCUGAUCCAGCCAUGCCGCGUGAGUGAUGAAGGCCUUAGGGUUGUAAAGCUCUUUCAGUAGGGAAGAUAAUGACGGUACCUACAGAAGAAGCCCCGGCUAACUUCGUGCCAGCAGCCGCGGUAAUAAU